This 503-nucleotide ribosomal RNA is filed under the name uncultured bacterium. RNAcentral describes it as "bacterial SSU rRNA". It matches the Rfam family "Bacterial small subunit ribosomal RNA", at positions 17 to 507 of the family's 1533-position model. The record is from RNAcentral.
UCCUGGCUCAGGAUGAACGCUAGCUACAGGCUUAACACAGUGCAAGUCGAGGGGAAACGACAUCGAAAGCUUGCUUUGGUGGGCGUCGACCGGCGCACGGGUGAGUAACGCGUAUCCAACCUGCCCACCACUUGGGGAUAACCUUGCGAAAGUAAGACUAAUACCCAAUGAUAUCCCACGAAGGCAUCCGAAUGGGAUUAAAGAUUUAUCGGUGAUGGAUGGGGAUGCGUCUGAUUAGCUUGUUGGCGGGGUAACGGCUCACCAAGGCAACGAUCAGUAGGGGUUCUGAGAGGAAGGUCCCCCACAUUGGAACUGAGACACGGUCCAAACUCCUACGGGAGGCAGCAGUGAGGAAUAUUGGUCAAUGGGCGAGAGCCUGAACCAGCCAAGUAGCGUGCAGGACGACGGCCCUAUGGGUUGUAAACUGCUUUUAUAAGGGAAUAAAGUGAGUCUCGUGAGACUUUUUGCAUGUACCUUAUGAAUAAGGACCGGCUAAUUCCGUG